RNAcentral lists this transfer RNA (63 nucleotides) under Lygaeus sp. PJ-2017. RNAcentral describes it as "tRNA-His". RNAcentral also lists the same sequence under 1 other name. The record is from RNAcentral. Lineage: Eukaryota; Metazoa; Arthropoda; Insecta; Hemiptera; Lygaeidae.
ACCUAAAUAGUUUAGUUUAGAAUAAUAAUUUGUGGUGUUAUAGGUGAUUUUUAUCUUUAGGUU